Molecule: ribosomal RNA, 433 nt
Filed under: uncultured bacterium
Lineage: Bacteria
Description: partial 16S ribosomal RNA
Rfam family: Bacterial small subunit ribosomal RNA
Source: RNAcentral
AACGAACGCUGGCGGCAUGCCUAACACAUGCAAGUCGAACGAGACCUUCGGGUCUAGUGGCGCACGGGUGCGUAACGCGUGGGACCCUGCCCUUAGGUUCGGAAUAACUCCCCGAAAGGGGUGCUAAUACCGGAUAAUGUCUUCGGACCAAAGAUUUAUCGCCUUGGGAUGGGCCCGCGUUGGAUUAGCCAGUUGGUAGGGUAAAAGCCUACCAAGGCGACGAUCCAUAGCUGGUCUGAGAGGAUGAUAAGCCACACUGGGACUGAGACACGGCCCAGACUCCUACGGGAGGCAGCAGUGGGGAAUAUUGGACGAUGGGCGAAAGCCUGAUCCAGCAAUGCCGCGUGAGUGAUGAAGGCCUUAGGGUUGUAAAGCUCUUUUACCCGGGAUGAUAAUGACAGUACCGGGAGAAUAAGCUCCGGCUAACUCCGUG